CCUACGGGAGGCAGCAGUGGGGGAUAUUGCACAAUGGGGGGAACCCUGAUGCAGCGACGCCGCGUGGGUGAAGGAGCGUUUCGGCGCGUAAAGCCCUAUCGGCAGGGAAGAAGAAGGACGGUACCUGACUAAGAAGCCCCGGCUAACUACGUGCCAGCAGCCGCGGUAAUACGGAGGGGGCAAGCGGUAUCCGGAUUUACUGGGUGUAAAGGGGGCGCAGACGGCAGCGCAAGCCAGGAGUGAAAGCCCGGGGCCCAACCCCGGGACUGCUCUUGAAACUGCGCGGCUGGAGUGCAGGAGGGGCAGGCGGAAUUCCUGGUGUAGCGGUGAAAUGCGUAGAUAUCAGGAGGAACACCGGUGGCGAAGGCGGCCUGCUGGACUGCGACUGACGUUGAGGCCCGAAAGCGUGGGGAGCGAACAGGAUUAGAUACCCUUGUAGUC
This 441-nucleotide ribosomal RNA is filed under the name uncultured bacterium. RNAcentral's name for it is "partial 16S ribosomal RNA". It matches the Rfam family "Bacterial small subunit ribosomal RNA", at positions 338 to 795 of the family's 1533-position model. The record is from RNAcentral.